CUGGUAUAAGAAGUUUAUCAUGAAAUUUGGAGUAAUGACAUCAGAUGCCAUCACAUUGUACUUCGACAAUAAUGGUGCAUAGCACUUGCUAAGGAGUCCAGGUCUCAUCAAAAGUCCAAACACAUCGAGCGGCGAUUUCAUAUAAUACGUGAUUACCUCGAGAAGAAAUAUAUCGAGAUACGAAGAAUAGACUCCACGGAUAAUAUG
This 207-nucleotide long non-coding RNA is filed under the name Elaeis guineensis (African oil palm). RNAcentral's name for it is "long non-coding RNA (EGUI_LNC044916)". Lineage: Eukaryota; Viridiplantae; Streptophyta; Magnoliopsida; Arecales; Arecaceae. The record is from RNAcentral.